Molecule: long non-coding RNA, 513 nt
Filed under: Olea europaea (common olive)
Lineage: Eukaryota; Viridiplantae; Streptophyta; Magnoliopsida; Lamiales; Oleaceae
Description: long non-coding RNA (OEUR_LNC013259)
Source: RNAcentral
GACAAAUCCACUUAUAUGGUUUGGUGCAAUCUUAUGUAUGAUAUUCAGCCUCUUCCUAAUCUUCUUUGGAAUAGCGACUUUAGUAAUCUUUCUUGAUGUUAAACCAAGGACUCCAGUGUUUGACACCCCCGCAGCAACCCUGAAUGUCAUAUACUUUAAUUCUCCCGAUUUUCUAAACGGAGAUGUAAUAUUUCUUGCAAAUUUUUCAAACCCAAAUAGGAAAUUGAAUGUUAAAUACGAGUACCUGGAUAUCAAGCUUUUCUUUUCAGAGACUCUAAUAGCAGUUCAAGCUCUUCAACCGUUCAGUCAAAAUCCUGGAGAAUCACGAUUGAUGUCGGUCCACUUGAUAUCUAGCUUGAUUCAUCUGCCACCAAAUACUGUUCUGGAACUUCAAAAGCAGGUGCAGAGAAAUAGGGUAGCAUAUGAUAUACGAGGCACUUUUAGAGUGAAAGCUAAGCUAGGAAUUUUUCAUUUUUCUUACUGGUUGCACGGGAGAUGCAAAGUAGAGAUGAC